GGGGUGGGGCUCUGCGAGUGGGCGGGGCUUCGUGACGCAAGCCUCUGAUUGGCUGCAGGCCGGUGGAGGCGGAGCCAGAGCUGGAGGCGGCUGUUGCCAUGGGAGCGGAACCGGAAGUGCUGGUGAGUGGGCGGGGCCUGGCUUCCUAUUGGCUGCCGGCCCUGGGAGUGGGGCUUCCCAUUGGCUGACGUCGAGGCCCCACCCCUCCCAGGUGGCGACACGCGCCCUCUGCAGGAUGCGGGAGGAAGCGCUGAUGGCGCUGCUGGAGCCACGCCCACUUCCGGAGACGCGGCAGCUGAUGGCCGCCUCCAACAAGCGCUGGCUGCAGGCGGCCCAGGUGAGGCGUUGACACUCUGUGACGUCACUUCCUGUCCCGGGUGAUGUCACUUCCUGUCACCCAGGUCGCUUCCUGUUCUGUUUGUGACAUCAUUUCCUGUUUGCUUAGGACGCCACUUCCUGCCACACUUUCCUGCUCUUUCAGGUCACUUCUUGUUGCCAUGUGACAUCAUUUCCUGUUUGAUUUGUGAUGUCAUAUCUAGUCCUACUUGUGAUGUCACUUCCUGUCGCAUUGUGAUGUCACAUCUUGUCCACCUUCUGCAGGCACUUCCUGCCACCCUUGUGGCACUUCCUGCUUUUCUCCUUGUGACAUCGCUUCCUAUCCCAUUUCUGACUCCGCUUCCUGUCCUC
RNAcentral lists this long non-coding RNA (687 nucleotides) under Numida meleagris (helmeted guineafowl). RNAcentral describes it as "lncRNA (ENSNMEG00000003851.1)". The record is from RNAcentral. Lineage: Eukaryota; Metazoa; Chordata; Aves; Galliformes; Numididae.